RNAcentral lists this ribosomal RNA (253 nucleotides) under uncultured bacterium. RNAcentral describes it as "partial 16S ribosomal RNA". It matches the Rfam family "Bacterial small subunit ribosomal RNA", at positions 524 to 776 of the family's 1533-position model. The record is from RNAcentral.
UACGUAGGGAGCAAGCGUUGUCCGAAUUUACUGGGCGUAAAGCGCGCGUAGGCGGGCUCUUAAGUUGGGGGUGAAAUUCCGAGGCUCAACCUCGGAACUGCCUCCAAAACUGGGAGCCUUGAGGUUUGGAGAGGGAAGUGGAAUUCCUGGUGUAGCGGUGAAAUGCGUAGAUAUCAGGAGGAACACCUGUGGCGAAGGCGGCUUCCUGGCCAUAUCCUGACGCUGAGGUGCGAAAGCUAGGGGAGCGAACGGG